Molecule: small nucleolar RNA, 130 nt
Filed under: Castor canadensis (American beaver)
Lineage: Eukaryota; Metazoa; Chordata; Mammalia; Rodentia; Castoridae
Description: Small nucleolar RNA SNORA42/SNORA80 family (ENSCCNG00000028977.1)
Rfam family: Small nucleolar RNA SNORA42/SNORA80 family
About the family: The members of this family belong to the H/ACA class of snoRNAs that guide the sites of modification of uridines to pseudouridines. Human ACA42 (SNORA42) was cloned from HeLa cells by immunoprecipitation with anti-GAR1 antibody. Its is predicted to guide the pseudouridylation of residues U109 and U572 of 18S rRNA.
Source: Rfam by way of RNAcentral
GCAUGUGUCUGGAUUUAUGGCAGGCCUGUCCCCCUGGGCCUCUCACAGUGACCGUGCCACAGCAGACUGGCUCCGAACCACUGCCUGGCCUCUGCCAUCAGCUGCUGGCACUGAAGCGGGUUGCACAGUG